RNAcentral lists this ribosomal RNA (468 nucleotides) under uncultured bacterium. RNAcentral describes it as "partial 16S ribosomal RNA". It matches the Rfam family "Bacterial small subunit ribosomal RNA", at positions 28 to 507 of the family's 1533-position model. The record is from RNAcentral.
GACGAACGCUGGCGGCGUGCUUAACACAUGCAAGUCGAACGGAAAGGCCCUGCUUUUGUGGGGUGCUCGAGUGGCGAACGGGUGAGUAACACGUGAGUAACCUGCCCUUGACUUUGGGAUAACUUCAGGAAACUGGGGCUAAUACCGGAUAGGAGCUCCUGCUGCAUGGUGGGGGUUGGAACGUUUCGGCGGUUGGGGAUGGACUCGCGGCUUAUCAGCUUGUUGGUGGGGUAGUGGCUUACCAAGGCUUUGACGGGUAGCCGGCCUGAGAGGGUGACCGGCCACAUUGGGACUGAGAUACGGACCAGACUCCUACGGGAGGCAGCAGUGGGGAAUAUUGCACAAUGGGCGGAAGCCUGAUGCAGCAACGCCGCGUGCGGGAUGACGGCCUUCGGGUUGUAAACCGCUGUCGCCUGUGACGAAGCGUGAGUGACGGUAAUGGGUAAAGAAGCACCGGCUAACUACGUG